UUACAGCCCAGGGAGACACUUUAAGGCUGUUGUCACACAGAUCUCACUAACCGUUACCUCAACACUAACUGAAAAGAAAAUAUUUCGAGUUCACAUAUGUCUUGGUUUGCUGUUAUGGGGCAGAGCUUUUUAAUGUGUCAAAGAGGACUUUUUUCAUGGCAAUCUCAAGUAUGCGCAGUGAGUUAAGCCCAUCUGGAACCUUUUAAGAGGAGUUGGAACACGUUGCAUUUGAGCAACAGCUAGCUUGCAAGUUUGGACUGGUGUGCUGUGCUUUUAUCCUUGCUGCUGUUAACCCCUUCAUAUUUGUGUACAUACUCUUUUAUUUUUAUGCGACCGAGCUGAGCUGAAGCAUGAUACUAUAACUACGACAGACUGAUUCGAUUUUAAAUAUGUGCUUCGGAUAGAAGGAAAUGUGCUUUAUGUUGGUAAAGCCUGACCGAACGAUAACACCAGACAGGUAGUUUCACCGUGUACGUCUGCUAAUGCAGAAACUGACAGGGGAAGUGUGGGAAAAAAAACAUGAACAAGCAUUGCCGCAUUCUGGAAAGCCGGUUAUAUUACUUUUAACUGGCGAUUUUAGCUUCCCAAAUGUUUUAUAACAAAUUAAUGUUUCCGGUAAAUAUACAUACGCAUGUAAAUGUUUUCUUGUUUUAAUAUACAUCUCUACAUAUUGCUCCAUUUUUAUCUUCUUUAAAACACAAAAGAAAUCAAAGUUUCUCUUUUUUGGAUAUGCUACUUCUAAAAUUUACCACACACCCUAUAUGACACCAUCACAAUGGCCCUGACUGUCAACGCUGCGGUGGCUUAUUUCUUCACCUGCCGGUCUCAGGAUACCAGCAGUCGCCGGGAAAUGGGAAAGGCAGCGCCCACUUGACACCUAUAGGUCACAACAUGUGAGACGGAAAGUUCUUGUCCACAAAACAUGUUGAUCCAGAUGUCUUCGUUUUCCUCUCUAUCAUAUGUUUCGUUCUGCGGUGUGUAAUUAUACCUGAAAAUAGCUGCUGUUUUCUUUCCAAAUUAAUUUGUUUAUGCGGAGCUUCAUAAAAGUCCCCAGUUAUCUUUGUUCUUGCCUUUUGUUGUUGUUGUAAAGAUUGAACUCCUUUUAGCAGAGAAUGCCUGACAUGCCUUAAAUAUCAAGAUGAUAAUCUGUCAUUUUCUGAAGCAUAUCCAACUCUGUAAUGAUUCUUGGGCAACCUUCUGACUUAUUGCAAAGGUGCCUGUGGUUUCAAACAUGCUCUACAUUAUUUUGGAAGAACUGCUCUCACCGCUCUGCCCCUCUUGUGUGUGUGUGUGUCUGCGAACAUGUGUGUCAGGUAUAUAUUACAUUAUGAUAUUUUGACAUUGUGGGGAUUUUUUUGGGUCCCCACAAGGGGAAAUUCAAUUUUAUAAACAAAAAACUAAAAAUGCCAAAAGACUUGUAUUUUGUUUGGUUACUUAUGGUUAAGGUUAGGAAUGGGUAGAGGUUAAGGUUGUCAGUGCUGGGAUUACAGCGUUUAGCCCACAAAAAUGAAAGGAUGGUCCCCACAAAAAAGUGAGUACAGGUCUGUGUGUGUGGGGGAUGGGUGUGGGGGUAGCUUUUAUGAUGUUUUGUGAAAGCAGCAAAUGACAUCUGGUGUGGCCAGAAAUGUAAUCAGAUUGCUUAACCCAGUGGAUUUCAAAGCAAGAAAGGGAAGGACUCGAUUCUGAGAUUCCAGGUCUCAAUAGUCGAGUGUAGAGUAAUCAUUUCAUUGAAAUUCGAUUACCUGCAAUGCAGGAAUGCCAUUGAAAAUAUGCAUAUUCUCUUAGCAUAUUUCAAAUAAUGAUGUUAAAAAAGAAAACUAUAAGGUCUCUGAACAUCACUCUAAAUGACGUUGUUUUAUAGAUUAUAUGUUGAAAUAUUUUAUUUAUAUCUCAUCCUUAUUUAUUUAUAUAUUAUUUAUAUCUCAUCCUAAUCCUACUCAUAUAUUCAAGUGCGAUAUUCAUAGUAUCUUUGGAAAAUCGCAUAGCUUUAAUGUCUGAUGAGCAGUUGAAAUAUUUAAUUAUUUCAAAACUGAACUAAGCCUAGCUUUCAUAUUGUUUGUGCUGAAAGACUCUAAUUUCAAGGUUAUUUUAUUAGCAUAAAGGAUUGCUUACGAGGGAGGGUCUCUUGCUAGUGAAUUGUCUUUCCUAUAUGAUUUUCCUCUAGGAAAGCAACACCUUGCAAGUCCAGCCUUUUUUCAGUAGCAAUACUCUUCUGGGCAUGAAUGUUAAAUGGUAGACGAAAAAGAGAAUUGCAAGCCAAAAAUCACACAUACCUUUCUAAUCAUUGUCCCUAUUUAAGCCUGCCCAAACUUGUUAAAAGACUACGCUGAGGUAUUCUAGAGUGUUUCCUAUCCUUUUUAUGGUGGACAUGUUGUGAAUACUGCACGACUAUGGCAACAUACAGACACAGCUGCUAAGAUGCUUUAAGUACUGAUUUCAUACUAGAGUCACAGAGCUGUAUUCAAUUAGAGCCAUAUGAUUCACAGUGUGAAGGAGCAGACUGUUUUAUCUAAGAAGCAGGCAUAUCUAAUGGACUGCCCCCCUGAGUGUACAUGUAUGCAGUAUAAAAUAUUAUAGAUUCAUUAUGCAUUCAUAUUAUUAUUGAGCCUUUGAGCAACAGUUAGUACUGACUUUUGAAGAAUUAAAUGAGCGUGUGAAUUAUUUUCACUAUGUAAACAUGUGGUAGGAGCUUAUAGCUACUCAUGUAAUAUCUUCCCACAAUAUAGUAACUACAUAUGUCAUAAUAAAAAUUUAACGACUCACAAUGUAAACAAUCAUGAUGGCAUUACAAACUCUCACCCAAUAACUGCAUUAAAUUCAUGCACAUAAUGUACUAAAUAUCAUUUUAUAUUGCCUUUAAUACAUUAUGAGUUUUUAUAAGAUAUUUGCUAUUACAUAUUAUGUAUAUAUUACAUUGUAAGCAACAGAGAUUCAUUAUGGCUUAUUGACCAAGAAUUUAUUUUUAAGGAUUUGCCACAGUUUUUAUGUCCAGUGAUUUUUAACACUAUUCUCGAUGUCAAUAGACCCCCCUGUUGGCUGUGGUGCUGAUUGUGUUUUUAAUGCUAAGCAGCAAUGGGGGACGCCUCAGUUACAUUCAGUAAGUGUUGGGUGGGGCCGUGCCUAUGUGUUGUUGCAGUGUUUGGUGAGACUUCACCUAUAUUUUGUAACAAUGUGGGGUGAGGUGUCAACUAUUUAUAGUUGCAGCACUAAAUGAGGCCUUACCUAUAUAUAAAAAACAGUUUUGGGUGAGGCAUUGUAUAUGAAAUUGUAACAAUGUUGAAUGAGCCCUUGUGUGUCUGAAACAGUGACAGCUACUGUACAGAUUGAGCCUAUCAGUCUAGAGGGGGAUCAGGUCUGUUCAUAUGAUUGUCCAGGUCAGCUUACUGAAGUCCUUGGGUCAGGUCAUUGAAAAGGUUCUUGUUUGUGUGGCUGGCGCUCAAUUAUUUAUGUUAAUUAAGACAUUUUGAAACUUCUAACAACCCUGUGGGUGGGAACAUACCAAACUGCACUCUCAGCCAGCUAAUAAACUGGAUUAUUGGGUGUACCAUGGAGAACUAAUUAAAAGUGAUGACUUACUCUAGAGACAAAAUAUGUGAAAACAGCCAAGAGGAAAUAUAAAUCAUACACCUCAUACCAGUUUGACUCCUUUCUUAAACAUUCGGAUUGUCAGUGCUAAAAUUGCAGGUUCUUCAGUCACAAAAGCUGCAAGAUGAUUUAACAUGGGAAGGACAACCAUCACAAAAAAUCGUGAUACUGCAUGUGAGACAUGGACAAACUAUUAGCGAAGAGUGAUGCAAGAUGAGUUCGAUGAGUCAGCGUCACACCUGUGGGAAGGAUGAAUGGCGGGUGUGUCUCUGCACUGCAGCUUACCUUGGUCAGGAUGGGCACCCAGGCAGAGAGGAGCACAUUCACCUAUGCUCUAGGUCUCAACAUUUUCUAAAUAGCCUUAAUAAUCUUUGGUGUGACAUAGCAAUAUCUGGCCUUAAAAAAUAUGGAAAAAGGAGAAGAAGUAAGGAUUAGCUUAGGUUAAUAUGAAACCACCUCAGCCUCAGGGUUAAUGUAGAAAUCAUAUCAAAUUUGUCCAUUAUAUUUAUUUGCUUAUGUGUGUUAAUUCGCAGUAUAGUCAUAAAUUGUGCUAUGUACCCUUGUAAUCAAGGAAAUGAGAUUUUGAGGCACUAGAGGAACGAACUUCAACCCAAAUGCUGGGGGCUAUGCUUUCUGCAAAAUUCCAAACAUUGGCCCUUUGAGCUUUCAAUCAGUGUUGUACUCAAGUCCACCUUAGUCAAGUUCAACUCAAGACUACACUUAACAAACUGAGCCUGAGUCAAGAACAAGCCCAAUAGUGGGAAGAAUCUGAGAUGAGACUGAAUCCGUUAUAGAACCUAGGUAGGCAAGUGAGAAUAUACUCCAAGUCUGGAAAAACACAAGCUCAAUUCAGAAUGCAGAAACUAUAAAGAAACUAUAAAGAGAAA
Non-coding RNA from Paramormyrops kingsleyae, 4472 nucleotides. Lineage: Eukaryota; Metazoa; Chordata; Actinopteri; Osteoglossiformes; Mormyridae. The record is from RefSeq and is a predicted model, not a curated record.